This 1115-nucleotide long non-coding RNA is filed under the name Calidris pugnax (ruff). RNAcentral's name for it is "lncRNA (ENSCPUG00000009906.1)". Lineage: Eukaryota; Metazoa; Chordata; Aves; Charadriiformes; Scolopacidae. The record is from RNAcentral.
UGCCAAAGUUCAGCAUCCCUUGGGGCGCCCAGUUUUGAUGAGCUGAUGGAACAGCCCGAGCCUUUUCCCACUUCCAUAGGUGUGUGGGAUCACACUGCAUCUUGCAGCACAUCUCAGCAGAGUGUGGUGACACAGGUCAGCUCACCCCCCAACGCACCAGGACACCGAAACAGAAGCAGGAAGGAACAAAUAGCCAGAACACAGAGAGCGUUCGUGGAGCAGCGGUCAGGCUCUCCGAUGUCACCUGCAGGAAUUCUGCUGCGGAUGAAUAAAUGGAAUGACAUGAUCUCAGAUAGUGCUGCCUGGAGGCCACCACCGAGAGAGAGCUCCUGGCUCUUGACCCAAGUGCUGAGCAAGUGCAACUGGAGAACCCUCCGCUGCCCAGAAGUGCUUACGAUCUGCAGCGCUUGGGAACACGUGGAGAGAUUAACUCGAAUUCAUACAGCGGAUCAGCAGGCAAGUUGGGAUCAACUCCACGUCUCCCAGUCUGAUUUCAGUAGCCUACCCCCUAAAAUGCACCAAUUCCACUGUCUCAAAGCUUUUCUGUGAUUCCUCUCCAUUCCACAGCCUCCUCUGGAUGCCCACUGCACAUUCCCCUCUGCAAACACACCCAGUUGCGCCUGUUGCAAUGGAAUAUUUUCUUUAUGAUACUUGUACAUGGCUCUGCUUUCUUACAGAAACACCUACAUGUCAAAAAAUUAUGGAAGAGAAACCCAUGACUCCCAUGCGAGCUGUGUCAAACAUUCAUAUUUUGGUGUUAAUCAAACUGCAGUCUUGUCAUGAUGUUCUCCUCAUUAUUUUAGCAUCAGUUUUACAUAUUGCUGUAUAAAGGAUCAUUAUGUGUCUUUGGAGAGAGAGAGAAAUAUAUUUUUGAUGAUACAUUUUUAAAUGUCUACAACUGUACAUUUCCACACUGAAUCAGGAAAGUACACAGCGUUCUUCAAGCCCAACUCUUGUGCUUCACUAGCUAUUAUAGGAUCUGCAUAUACACAGAAUAGACAUACAUAUAGCAUUAUAUAUCUGCAUAUACACUUAGAAGUGCAGAAAAAAUCCCAUGCAGUUCUCAUUUAUACUCUCAAUGACCAAGCUGAGAAAUAAAACAUCUUGCCUCAUCA